GUGGGCGAGUGUUUGGGAAGGUGGAAGGGUGAUGGAGGGGCGGGCGGCAUCGAGGGACGGGCUGGAGCAUCAGGCGGCCCUCUAGAGCAGCAGGUACAGUUCGUCAGGCGCCCGUGCACACCCACAGCUGCCCGCCACGCCGCUCUUAAGUACUCCUGUAGGACGUGGUACAGGGCAGCCUAGGGAGAAGUGGUGUGUGGUGGUGGCAGACCGCGGUGGAGGCGGUGGAGUGGUGGUGGCGGCGUGUUCCGUGUGCAGCCGCCAGACAGCAGCAGCAGCAGCAGCAGCAGACAGCGAGCGCCGCCUGCCGUCCUAAUGAGGUGUACGUCUUGUGUUAGUGUUGUGAGUGCCGGAGUGAGAGCAACACACCACCGUGCUUCAAAGUGACGCCUUCCCCGCACCGUCACCGCCAUCUACAGGAAUAAGUCACUCCGCCUACCAUCGACCCCUGAACACUGCCACCUGGGGGCUGGGGAAGCUGUCAUCACCCGGCACACCAGUUUUUGAGUGUACUGGGCCGCGUACUGGGAGUGUGCUAGGUGUUCCUCUAUCCCGCGCACCCUCACACACACCCACGCCGCUGGACCGACGCCCCCAUGUGACCAGACUGAGGGCCGUGGCGAGUGAGGGGCUUCCUGUACCAGCAAUAAGAGACUGGGGGAGAUUUGGAUGUGCGGAAGCUGAAGACCAGGCCACACGGGUAGAUGAGUGAAGGAUAGUGGGAGCUGCCCAGGGACGGUGUAGCUGGGGUGCCGCGCGCCCGGUGACGGGGUGAGGAGCGCAGCGCCGGCACCAUGGCCACCAUCGACGGACGCCCGGCGCAGUAUGGCAUCACGCUACGCCAACUGCGCGAGCUGAUGGAGUCGCGCGGGGUUGAGGGAGUAGAGCGCAUCCAACGGGAGUAUGGCGGCACAUUGGAGAUCACCAAGAAGCUUUACUCCUCCCCAACCAAUGGGUUGAGUGGGAAUGCCAGUGACAUGGAGCAUCGGAGACAGACUUUCGGCUCCAAUGUCAUCCCUCCUAAGCCCCCGAAGACGUUCCUGACGUUGGUAUGGGAGGCACUGCAGGACGUGACGCUCAUCAUCCUGCAAGUGGCUGCCGUGGUGUCCCUGGGCCUCUCCUUCUACAGACCACCAGAGGAAACCAUAGUAGGAGCAGCAGCAGAAAAGGGAAUUGCUGACGAAGUGGGCCAUCACGAUGAGGGUGAGGAGGAAGCUGGAUGGAUCGAGGGUGUGGCCAUCCUUAUUUCUGUGGCAGUUGUUGUUUUUGUCACAGCCUUUAAUGACUACACAAAAGAGAAACAGUUUCGGGGACUACAAAGCCGUAUCGAGGGCGAGCACAAAUUUUCGGUUAUUCGAGGAGGUGAAGUUCAGCAGAUAGGCGUUGGGGAUAUUGUCGUCGGUGAUAUUUGCCAAAUCAAGUAUGGUGACUUGUUACCGACUGAUGGCAUUUUGUUACAAAGUAAUGAUUUGAAGAUCGACGAGUCCUCACUAACAGGAGAAUCAGACCAUGUAAAGAAAGGUGUUGACCUUGAUCCUAUGGUGCUCUCAGGGACACAUGUAAUGGAGGGGAGUGGCAAAAUGAUUGUUACUGCUGUUGGUGUAAAUUCGCAGGCAGGUAUCAUCUUCACCCUGCUUGGCGCCGCUGCGGAUGAAGAGCAAGUAGAGGCCCGGAAGAGGAAGAAAGAGGCCAAAAAGCAGCGGAAAAUAAAGAAGAAGGGCGGUUCGGGCGAAGAGUUGAUUGACGUCAAUCCUAAUAAGCAAGACGGCGGAGAGGCUGGCUCUGUGACGGGUAACUCUCACCACAUAACAGCCAACUCCACCAGUGCCGACGGAGACGUCAGAAAUAACAAGCACCCUAAAGAAGAGGAGGAAGAAGAGUCACAAAGAGCAGGUGGAAAGAGCCAGGAAAAAUCUGUUCUACAAGCCAAGCUUACAAAGCUUGCUAUCCAGAUUGGCUAUGCUGGUUCUUUCAUUGCUGUGCUAACCGUUGUGAUUUUGAUUGUCCGUUUCUGCGUACAAACAUUUGUUAUGGACGGCAAGCCAUGGUCUCCAUUUUAUGCCAAUCAUUUUGUUAAGUUCUUCAUCAUCGGUGUUACUGUGUUGGUGGUGGCCGUGCCAGAGGGUCUGCCCCUUGCUGUCACUCUCUCACUGGCUUACUCUGUGAAGAAAAUGAUGAAAGACAAUAACUUGGUGAGGCACCUGGAUGCCUGUGAGACCAUGGGGAAUGCAACAGCCAUCUGCUCCGAUAAGACUGGAACUCUCACCACUAACCGCAUGACUGUAGUUCAGGCAUACAUUUGUAGCGAGGACUACAAGACCAUGCCAAAGUGUGAAUCCCUCCCACACAAUGUUGCUGAUCUGCUGCUGCAUGCAAUCAGUGUCAACUCUGCCUACACAUCUCGAGUGCUGCCCGGGGAUAAUCCAGGGGACUUGCCGAAGCAGGUUGGUAACAAAACAGAAUGUGCUUUGUUAGGAUUUGUGUUGGACCUUGGGAAGAGUUAUCAGGCAAUCCGUGAUGAAAUAACAGAAGAAAACUUUCAUCGUGUGUACACAUUCAACUCUGCCAGAAAAUCCAUGUCAACGGUGAUUCCUCGCGAUGGAGGAUACCGUAUUUUCACUAAAGGUGCCUCAGAAAUUGUUAUGAAAAAGUGCUCCUUUAUCCAUGGUAAGGAUGGUAAACUAGAAAGCUUCUCAAAAUCAAUGCAAGACCGCCUUGUUCGAGAAGUGAUUGAACCGAUGGCGUGUAAUGGUCUACGCACAAUCUCAAUUGCAUACAGAGACUUUGUACGAGGAAAAGCUGAAAUCAACCAGGUACACUUUGAAAAUGAGCCUCACUGGGAUGAUGAAGACCACAUAAUUAACAACCUGACCUGUCUCUGUGUGCUGGGGAUUGAAGACCCAGUGAGACCUGAAGUACCUGAUGCAAUCCACAGGUGCCAGCGAGCAGGCAUCACCGUGCGCAUGGUGACUGGCGACAAUAUCAACACUGCGCGUUCCAUUGCCUCCAAGUGUGGCAUCCUCAAGCCUGGUGACAACAGCCUUAUUUUAGAAGGAAAAGAAUUCAACAGACGAGUCAGAGAUUCUACAGGAAAAGUCCAGCAACACUUGGUGGACAAAGUUUGGGUGAACCUGCGUGUAUUGGCACGCUCCUCACCCACUGACAAGUACACACUGGUGAAGGGAAUCAUUGAGAGCAAAGUGAGUGCUAACCGAGAGGUAGUGGCAGUGACUGGUGAUGGCACCAAUGACGGCCCUGCACUGAAAAUGGCUGAUGUUGGCUUUGCUAUGGGCAUUGCUGGAACAGAUGUGGCCAAGGAAGCUUCAGACAUCAUCCUGACAGACGACAACUUCACCUCCAUUGUAAAAGCCGUCAUGUGGGGACGUAAUGUGUAUGACUCCAUUGCAAAGUUUCUACAGUUUCAGCUGACAGUUAAUGUUGUUGCUGUUAUUGUAGCAUUUGUUGGUGCAUGUGCCAUCAACGAUAGCCCUCUCAAGGCUGUACAAAUGUUGUGGGUGAACCUCAUCAUGGAUACUCUGGCCUCCUUGGCCCUGGCGACUGAGGCCCCAACCCCCGACCUGCUGCAGAGGAAGCCGUACGGCCGCACCAAGCCUCUCAUAUCUCGCACCAUGAUGAAGAACAUCUUGGGGCAAGCAGUUUACAUGAUUUCGAUCAUAUUCGUUUUGUUAUUUUAUGGUGAUAAAAUGUUAGACAUAGACUCUGGGCGAUAUGCAGACAUCCGUGACCCUCCCUCUCAGCACUUUACUAUCAUCUUCAACACCUUCGUCAUGAUGACUCUCUUCAACGAAAUCAAUGCACGGAAAAUUCACGGACAGCGGAAUGUUUUCCAGGGCUUUUUUAGCAAUCCCAUUUUCUACAGCAUUUGGCUGAGUACAUUAGCAGCUCAGGUUGUGAUAGUCCAGUUUGGAGGGCGGGCAUUUUCUACUGAGGCACUCACUCUUGAACUUUGGCUCUGGUGUAUCCUGUUUGGGAGUGGAGUCCUCCUGUGGGGACAGUUGGUCACUUCCAUGCCAACCAAAAAGCUCCCCAAAAAUCUGUUCUCGUGGGGUUCUGGGGAGCCUCAGACGGACCCCAUUGCUGAUCUCACCACUGAGGACAAGCUGGAUUCAGAUGGCAAGGAUAGCAAGCGCACGGGUCAAAUUUUGUGGAUCCGUGGCUUGACCCGGCUCCAGACUCAGUCUGUACAAGCUACACCAAACCUAAUGGGACCUAGGCCAGCCAGUGCUGAGUAAGGCAGUUCUGUGGAGUUUGCCGCUACCCGAAAGGAAAUAUUUUUAUGGCAUUUGGCAGCAGUGACCAAUGCAAUUAUCGAAGGGUUGGGAAAUUCGCGCUGGCCCACUCAACUCUGCCUCAAGCCACUAGCCUCACUCCUUAUCGUUCCUAUUGACCCUUAAAGGAAUUAAGAGAGGCGUGUCCGGCAGCAUGAUGUCGGUUUCCGCAAGACUUGGCACUCCCCAGUGCAUGAAGACCAGCCUAGAUUCGAGUAGUUAAUGCGUUCCGACAGGGGCUCGAUGCUCGGCCUUCCAACCCUAAUCUGGCGGCGGUGCUGAAGAAGCAGUCAUCCCUGAAUAAGAGGCUGUCUCAGGGGUCCUCGUUGGAGUAUGCUGACCUGUGUCCGGACCCUGAAGAACUCACAGUGCCCGAGAUCGACG
This 4673-nucleotide unclassified non-coding RNA is filed under the name Portunus trituberculatus (swimming crab). RNAcentral's name for it is "plasma membrane calcium-transporting ATPase 2-like, transcript variant X2". Lineage: Eukaryota; Metazoa; Arthropoda; Malacostraca; Decapoda; Portunidae. The record is from RNAcentral.